AUCGCGGUCAUCAAGUACUGGGGCAAGCGCGAUGAAGAGCUGGUUCUGCCCAUCAACUCCUCCCUGAGCGUCACUCUGCACCAGGACCAGUUAAAAACCACCACAACAGCCGUCAUCAGCAAGGACUUCACCGAGGACCGGAUUUGGCUGAAUGGCCGGGAGGAGGAUGUGGGGCAGCCGCGGCUCCAGGCCUGCCUGCGGGAGAUCCGCUGCCUGGUCCGGAAGCGGAGGAACUCACGGGAUGGGGACCCGCUGCCCUCCAGCCUCAGCUGCAAGGUGCACGUGGCAUCGGUGAACAACUUCCCCACAGCUGCGGGCCUGGCCUCCUCGGCGGCGGGCUAUGCCUGCCUAGGUACCUUUUGUUGCCCUUGUCGCAGGCCGCAAGCUCUGCAGGCCGUGAACAGAGAGUGUCCGAGAGCGGAACUAGCGGAGGUGGGGGACAGACAGCUGGGCCGGUGAAUGCUGGCCUCAAAGGCUGAUGGCCCAGAAGCCCUGUCAUCUGGAAAUCCCCAUUUGCCGUGGGGUGUGGGACGUUCCUGGGGCGGUGAGCUGUCAGGGAGCACGGCGCAGGCAGCUCUGAGGACCCUCCCUGAAUCCGCAUGCCUGCAGCCUACACCCUGGCCCGUGUCUACGGCGUGGAGAGUGACCUCUCAGAAGUGGCUCGCCGGGGCUCAGGCAGCGCCUGCCGGAGCCUGUAUGGGGGCUUUGUGGAGUGGCAGAUGGGAGAGCAGGCCGACGGGAAGGACAGCAUCGCUCGGCAAGUGGCCCCCGAGUCACACUGGCCUGAACUCCGCGUGCUCAUCCUUGUG
Molecule: small RNA, 809 nt
Filed under: Pan troglodytes (chimpanzee)
Lineage: Eukaryota; Metazoa; Chordata; Mammalia; Primates; Hominidae
Description: processed transcript
Source: RNAcentral